CUCCUAGAUGUUCUGGGCUGCACGCGCACUACACUGAUGGCAAAAACGAGCACUCCCUUUAUGGGGCCUGGUUCGAAAGGACUGGGAAAUCUCCUGAACGGCCAUCGUGACUGGGAUAGAUGAUUGCAAUUAUUUGCCCUGAACGAGGAAUGCCUAGUACAGGUAAUUCAUCAGAUUGCCUGGAUUACGUCCCUGUCAUUUGUACACACCGCCCGUCGUUGCUACCGAUGGUUGUCGAAUAGAGGCGUUGGGAGGCUGUCCUUCGGAACGGCCGAACUCCACCGAUAUUUGACUACUAGAGGAAGCAAAAGUCGUAACA
Molecule: ribosomal RNA, 319 nt
Filed under: uncultured eukaryote
Lineage: Eukaryota
Description: partial 18S ribosomal RNA
Rfam family: Eukaryotic small subunit ribosomal RNA
Source: RNAcentral